This 1245-nucleotide long non-coding RNA is filed under the name Betta splendens (Siamese fighting fish). RNAcentral describes it as "lncRNA (ENSBSLG00000024392.1)". Lineage: Eukaryota; Metazoa; Chordata; Actinopteri; Anabantiformes; Osphronemidae. The record is from RNAcentral.
UUUUCCGUAAGGCCAGCGGCUGAGAGGGGGCUGGGCCGCUGCAGCAGAUGAAAAGCCUUCCAGGACCGUCCAACCUUCCCAGGAAUGCCCAGAAUUCCAGUUCCUAAUUAUGACAUCCACGGAGAAGAGGCCCAACACCCCUCUCUGCCACCACAACGGCAAUUACAAACACACACUUGGCACUUUGCAGGUGUGGCGAACUUGACCCACUUUCUGGAGGUGUUUGGGAUCAAUUCACAGGUAAGGCUAAAAGGUAAAAUUGGAGGUGCAGCAGCAGACAAACUGUUUAAAUUGCUUUUAAAGUAGUCAAAUAUUAAGCAGCAGAUUCAGGAGUUGUAUAACAGUAUUCAUUAGAAGUUGUAUUCGAGUCAAUAAUCUCAAGAUUCACUCUUUUAGCUCUGCUUUUGGUCUCCACCUACUCAGGAGAAAAAUAUGGCUCAUGGCUACCAGAGAGUCCAUCAGCUGUCCAGCAGAAAGUGCAGAGCUUUACACAGACAGAUUGACAGUUGCAAACCAUUUAAGUUCUAGCCAGAAAAUCAAAUCAGUGGUUAUAGAACUGCACUGGGAUAUGUGCAAAGUUAGCUGAUAAUUCUCAUAGGAGAGAUCACUAACGCCACAGAUGUUCCUUAAUGAACUUACUUUCUAACUAGCGUCCUGUUCCUAUAUUUCCAUUUGGAUCGAGCGGCACAGAGCCGGUUAAUGGGUUUGUCAGCCGCGACUUUUUAUACAACCUCUUUGGGACGCAACGUCUGUGGUGAGAGUUGUGGGAGGUAUGAACACGAGUGUCUCUAUUUGCUCUGUACAUUUUGUUCCUCGGGGGAAAUCUCCCUGAUUAAGUGCUACUAUUUUGACAAUAUGUCAACUCAUGGGGAGCAAAGAUGAAUUUAUGUGCUUGGCUGUUCUGUAAACAGCUUUGCUGACCAACAUGUUCCCGACCUCAUCCCAGCGCUGCCUGAAAAAAAACAGAGAAAAACGGCCUGAAGACUGCCUUUAAUUCUGCUGUCAGACUGUAAAACUGUAGUGAAUUGUUUUAAUUAGAUGCCAUGAAGUGCCCUCUCAUUUUUCUUUUUAUCUUCUAAACAAAUUUGCGGCGUAGCAUCAGUGAGUGUGCAUCAAUCUCUGAGACCAAAAUACAGCAGUACCUAAAAUGCAUAUGUAUGUUUCUUUAUUUUUAGGAUCAAGCCCCUGGCCAGACCACUCUGUGAGUCACUGUGGGAAUAAAAGGGCCCUUUGCUAGAGAUGGCA